RNAcentral lists this ribosomal RNA (393 nucleotides) under uncultured bacterium. RNAcentral describes it as "partial 16S ribosomal RNA". It matches the Rfam family "Bacterial small subunit ribosomal RNA", at positions 523 to 918 of the family's 1533-position model. The record is from RNAcentral.
AUACGGAGGAUGCAAGCGUUAUCCGGAUUUAUUGGGUUUAAAGGGUGCGUAGGCGGUUUGCUAAGCGGGAGGUGAAAUGCCGGCGCUCAACGUCGGAAGUGCCUCCCGAACUGGUGGACUGGAAUGACUCUGCCGUGGGAGGAAUGUGUAGUGUAGCGGUGAAAUGCUUAGAGAUUACACAGAACACCGAUUGCGAAGGCAUCUCACGAAGGGUUGAUUGACGCUGAGGCACGAAAGCGUGGGGAUCAAACAGGAUUAGAUACCCUGGUAGUCCACGCAGUAAACGAUGAUGGCUAACCGCUGGUUUAUUCGGAUCAGUGGCCAAGCGAAAGCGAUAAGCCAUCCACCUGGGGUGUACGACCGCAAGGUUGAAACUCAAAGGAAUUGACGGGG